This is a non-coding RNA of Lactuca sativa (garden lettuce), 2428 nucleotides long. Lineage: Eukaryota; Viridiplantae; Streptophyta; Magnoliopsida; Asterales; Asteraceae. The record is from RefSeq and is a predicted model, not a curated record.
CCCCGCUUUUCUUCGUUUUUCUUUUCCUUCCUUUUAUUUUCAUUCCUGCUUCUCUUUAUUUAUUUAUUUAUUUUGCAUUCCCCCAUUUUGUUUUAAUUCCCUCUACCUUUUUCCCAAAGCUCUGAACAAUUCCAUCCCAAAUCCCAAAUCGAAUCUCUGUCCACUGAAAUCCCUCCUCUGCCCAGAAAAUCACCUCCACCACCGUUCACUUGCAUCGCCCCCUGUUGACUCACUUUUUCCACUGCCAACGCCAUUCCUUUAUCCUCGAUCGUAAACACAAGCAAAUCUCAAGUAGUCUUCAUCAACUCCUAAUUUUGGUUUCUACUGGUGUAUAAGUGGCUUCUAAACAUAGCUUCUUUCUAGCCAUGAUGAAGAUCGUCGGGACCUUGGGCCCGAAAUCGCGAGCUGUUGAAAUCAUUUUGAGCUGCCUUCAAGUUGGUAUGUCAGUUGCACGAUUUGAUUUUUCAUAGGGUGACAUUGAAUUUCAUGAAGAGACAUUGGAAAAUCUUAAAAUGGCUAUUAAGAGCUCGAAAAAAACUACGUGUUGUAAGUUUUCUUCCUACACCAAAAGAAUGAAAAACUAUCCCUGUGAAUUUCACUCACUUGUGAAGUUGAUAAUUCCUUAUAUACAAGGUUUUUCAUUUCAUAAUAUGAUGGUAAUAUAUAAUUAUAUAUAAGUUCUCUGGAAGCAAAAACCUUGGUCAUCCUUACACCCGAUCAAGAAAAAGAAGCCACUUCCAAUCUUUUACCAAUAAACUUUAGUAUCAAAUACUUAUGUAUUUUAGGAAAUCAUUGUUAAAUAAACCUAUAUAUUGAUGUUCCAAACACUCAUAGUAUAUGCCUCUUUGGUAAUUUAUUACGAAUUUCAUCUUAACCUACCCCAACUAGAUUGCUAAAAGAUUUCUUGUCAUUAGUUUGUUACUUCUUACAAACUGCAUUAUUAUGCCUAAUUCAAGUCUUCUUUGUUUUCAUGCUUUGUGAUACUUCAAACUACGAUUCCCAUAUGAAGGUACAUAUUCAUUUCUCCUAUUGAAUGUAAAUUUAGUUUCUCUGAAUCAUACAUUAUAAUUAAUUGAUGAUGCCCUCUUUUUAGACUCAAUCAUGGAUCCUAGAAUCCAUGACAUAUACAAACCAUCAUACUGGACAAUCUUUGGUUGUCACAAUAGUAAUCAUUAAGCCAAAUUACAUGCUUAAAGUAUGUAUCUUGCUUCAAGGAUUGGGCUAUUUAAACAAGCAAGAUGUCAAGAAGAUAAUCAUAAUAUUAGUAAUUUGAUAUCAUGUUCAUUUUCCGAUAUUGCCCCUCCAUGUUAUGGGUGUUUUUCUAUACUCUAGAGAGGUAGACAUACUUGUAACUUUUCAUAUACUUGUGUCCUUGGUUCUUCAAGACCACAUUAAGGAUAAAGUUUACUUUUUUAUGAUUUGCAAUUUCUUUAAGCACUUUAAAGUGUUAAUUCUUUUAUUCUUGCAGAUAGGACUUCUGUUUCAGAAGGACAGUGUGAUUAAAAAUAGUGAUGGUCACAUAUAUUAUUUACAAGCAAUUAGAUGGGAUAUGAAACAAAUAGAUUUACUCUUACAUCACUACUAGAGGAAGGACGGAAAUGGGACAUCCGGUGGAAGGUAUGCGAUCUCUUCAGUGAAUCAAUAUAAACAAUCACAAUUCAGGUCAGUGCUUUCCAUUAAUUGGAAAUUUUGGAUAUCUACAAAAAACUUCAGGUCAGUGCAUCACAUUUUACAUGCUUCGAAGACUUGUAGUCUGCUUCUUUACACAACUUUAUUUUUUUUAUUUCACUUCCAAGUUCUCGUAUGCUAAAUCAUUUAUGUUCCGGGUUUAGGCUUAGGUGGAACACAGUCAAAUCCUUCCUUGAUCUAAAGACUACUACCAAGAUUCAUGGGAAUGUGCUCAUUGCUGUUCUUUCAAAUUACAUGGUUGACAUUGAUUAGAUGGUGCUUCAUCUUUAGGACCUUUUUGUUCAGGUGGAACUUUUGAUGAUGAGUAUGAGGACAUUUCUGUCUUUUUCACUUUUCCAGAUAGGACAAAAAUUGCAAAUUUUGUCUGAUUGACAUCAAUCCAAUGCACACCAAAUAGGAGUUCUUGUGGUACAUGUCUUGAUAAAGGUAGUUACAGGCAACCAGAGAAGGGCACAUGGAAAGACCUAGAGACCAAGGAAAAGUAAGUGGAGUUUGGUUCGCCUAAUUCCAUGGGAUUAAACGUGAAUUGGAAUCCAAUUCCAUUAUGAUCCUUAAUCGGACGCAAGUUAUCAAGCAAUGUUAAACUUUGAUAUUAAGUGUUUUUGGUAAACUUUUGAUAGUUGAUUUUUUGGUAUUUUAAUUUUAAUGUUUGGUUUUAGAUUGUAAAAUUAUUGGAUGCUUUUGGUAUUUAAAUGUUAAUGUUUGGUUUGUGAUUGUAUAAUUAUUUGAUGUUUGUGGU